This 638-nucleotide long non-coding RNA is filed under the name Nicotiana benthamiana. Its description in RNAcentral is "long non-coding RNA (NBEN_LNC005780)". Lineage: Eukaryota; Viridiplantae; Streptophyta; Magnoliopsida; Solanales; Solanaceae. The record is from RNAcentral.
CAGAAAGGUCUAAAUGGAUGAAAUGGCCUCCGGUUUUCAGGUGGACAUGAGUAUCCAUCCUUUCACACCUUGAGAGUAUCUUUCUAAUAAUCGGGUCAUUUUGAAAGUAAUCUCUCCGAUACCCAGGUCAUAUUGAGUAAUCUCUCCGAUAAUCGAGUCAUUUUUAGAGUAAUAUCUCCGAUAGUUAGACCACAUUGAGAGUAAUCUUUCUGAUAGUCGGGCUAUUUUAAGAGUAAUCUCUCUGAUUGUCGGGUCAAUUUGAGAGUGAUCUCUCGAUAGUCAUGUCAUUUUGAGAGCAAUAUCUCCGAUUGUAGGGUCACAUUGAGAGUAAUCUCUCUGAUAGUCAUACCAUGUUGAGAGUAAUCUCUUCGAUAUCCGGGCCACACUGAGAGUAAUCUCUCUAAUAGCUGGACCGUUUUGAAAGUAAUCUCUUCGAUAGUCGAGCCACAUUAAGAGUAAUCUCUCCGAUAGUCGGGUCGAAAUGGGUACUCAUCCCUUCAUACCCUAAGAUUAUUUUCUUCAUGCAUGAAUAAUCGUUAAAAAAGAACAUAUCCUUCUCAUUUGGCCUAAAAAAAGGACCAAAAAAGGAAGAAGAAAAAAAAAGUUACCACUCAAAGAUGAGUUCCAACAAGUUUGCG